CUCGGCAACGGAUAUCUCGGCUCUCGCAUCGAUGAAGAACGUAGCGAAAUGCGAUACUUGGUGUGAAUUGCAGAAUCCCGUGAACCAUCGAGUCUUUGAACGCAAGUUGCGCCCGAAGCCAUUAGGCUGAGGGCACGUCUACCUGGGCGUCACGC
Molecule: ribosomal RNA, 155 nt
Filed under: Origanum majorana
Lineage: Eukaryota; Viridiplantae; Streptophyta; Magnoliopsida; Lamiales; Lamiaceae
Description: 5.8S ribosomal RNA
Rfam family: 5.8S ribosomal RNA
About the family: 5.8S ribosomal RNA (5.8S rRNA) is a component of the large subunit of the eukaryotic ribosome. It is transcribed by RNA polymerase I as part of the 45S precursor that also contains 18S and 28S rRNA.
Source: RNAcentral